AUGGCGCCGCCGCCGCCCUCCCACCCAGCACAACCGCCGGAGCCGCCGUUCCUUCAAACCCCAGUUGAGCUCCUCGAGGAAAUCUUCCUCCGCCUCCCCACGGCUGAGGACCUUGCCCGUGCCUCCACCGCCUGCGCCUCCUUCCACCGCGUAAUCGGCGGUCACGGCUUCCUGCGCCGCUAUCGUGUCCUCCACCGGCCGCCCCUCAUCGGCAUGUUUCACAAACCCUUCCUCACAGCCCUGCCUCCGCACCCCUCCGCCCUCGCCGCCCGCGCCUUUGCCGACUUCGACUUCUCGUGCUCCUCCUUCCUCCCCUCCACCGCAGGCCGUGCGUGGAGUCCGAUCGACUUCUUCGACGGACGUGCUCUCCUCGACUGCACCCCGGUAGAACACGGAAGCGGCAGCGCCAUCCUCGUGGGCCCUGACGGCGAGGUGUGCGAUUUCCAGUAUCGCGAAUUUCUUGUGAGGGACCUCGCCGUCUGCGACCCAGUGCACCGCCGCUACGUCCUAUUACCCGCCGUCCCCGGCAACCUGAAAGCGAUGGUCCAUCGAUCGGACCUACUUGGCCUAGAGACUUUCCUUGCUCCCGGCGAUGAUGAGGAGGACCCAUUGUCAUUCAGAGUAAUGUGCCUGGCAGAAUGCAGGAUGCAUCUGCUGCUUCUCGUCUUCUCGUCUUUGGAUGGACAAUGGCAAGUUCAUACUUAUUGCCAAUGGAAUGCUAAGGCUACAUUUGCUUCGUUUGAAAAAUCGGAGAGUGGGCUGUCUUAUCGUAGGUUGGUCCACGGAUCCUUCUGUUGGAAUCUGCAUUUCCUGAACAAGUUGCUUCUACUUGACAAGCACACCCUGGAGUUCUCUGCUGUCAACCUCCCACCUGAACGAAUAUGGAGAAGCCGGUUUGUCAUUGUCGAGGCAGCGGAAGGAGCGCUUGGAAGGCUCACUAUAUGGUAUGAUCAGUACAGUGAAUACGGCUCAUAUAUCCUCACGUACUGCGUUCUGAGAAAUAACCACUGGAAGUCAGAGAAGGUCAUCCCACUGCCCAUAAGCCGUGCGAUUCUGAUUGGUGUUGCUGGGGGAUACCUGCUUAUAGAAGGGUUCUACACCACACCUUCACAAGGGGAGCUAUCACAAGAAGCGCUAAAGUUUGGAUACUUCUCAGUGGACCUGAAGACGUUGCAGGUCGAGCUGUUCGCUGGGCUUAGCAAAUCCAUCUUCCCUGGUCGACUGUAUGCUGGUUUCCCACCGUCAUUGCGUCCGCCAACUGUAUGA
This 1266-nucleotide ribosomal RNA is filed under the name Triticum aestivum (bread wheat). RNAcentral describes it as "partial small subunit ribosomal RNA". Lineage: Eukaryota; Viridiplantae; Streptophyta; Magnoliopsida; Poales; Poaceae. The record is from RNAcentral.